Hemicordylus capensis (graceful crag lizard) is the source of this 787-nucleotide long non-coding RNA. RefSeq lists it as uncharacterized. The record is from RefSeq and is a predicted model, not a curated record. The transcript is spliced from 3 exons. NCBI's taxonomy places the organism in Eukaryota, Metazoa, Chordata, Lepidosauria, Squamata, Cordylidae.
GCAACUUCACUCACUGGAUGUAAAUUCUGCUGCACGAACGCCCAUGCUGGAGGUGGCUGAGAGGGGAGCGACUGAGAGGCGAGUGCUGAGAGGCGAGAGCACGGGGGCCAGUUGACCCAGAUCCCAGCGCUCGUUUUGCUUUUUCCCGACGCCGCCUCCUCCAGAUCGGCGCUGGACGCUAUUCAUUUUUGCCUCUGGCAAGAAGAAAAGGGCAAAGUCUCAGACAAGAACACUCACGUCAUACCUUUUUAAAAGAGCUCACCUCAGGACAGAGAAAACGGAUGUGCAUUUCGAGAGCCACAAAGGCACUACCAACCUUCCUCCGCCUCUUUAAAAUAUGUCUGUCUUUACUCUAAAUUUGUGAUUUAGCUGUUUUGAAAAAUCUUCUCUAGCUGUAUGUGGGCCAUGCUGCUUUUCUGCUUGUAAUAUUUAUUUUAUCAUGUUGUGUUAGGUACCCUAAGGACUUUGGGCAUGGUGAAUCAUAUUUAUUAUUUACAAGCUUUGUCAGCAGCAGUUAACCUGUUUGCUCUGGACAUGCAAUUAUUCCCUAUACAAGACCAGCCUGGCAUUUUCAAUGCUGAUUGCUACAUACGGAAGAUGCUUCAUGCUUCACUGAACCCACAUUUUCAUUAGACUACUCCCAGUUUACAAAUGAGUGUUAAAAAGACCUUUACUGUGUAGUUUUGUUAUGGCAGGUGUUGGGUAUGCAAUUAUGUUGUUGCAAUACUAAAAGUUACUACUUUACUUUCACACCAAAUGUUUUUGUGUUCAACAGUAAAAAACAGCA